AGACGUCUACAUUAGAUACCCCCGUAGUCCCAGCCGUAAACUAUGCUCGCUAGGUGUCAGGCAUGGCGCGACCGUGUCUGGUGCCGGAGAGAAGUUGUUAAGUCUGCUACUUGGGGAGUACGUCCGCAAGGAUGAAACUUAAAGGAAUUGGCGGGGGAGCACCGCAACGGGAGGAGCGUGCGGUUUAAUUGGAUUCAACACCGUAAAACUCACCAGGGAAGACUGUUACAUGAAAGCCGAGAUGAAGACUCUGCUAGAUUUUCAG
Molecule: ribosomal RNA, 265 nt
Filed under: uncultured archaeon
Lineage: Archaea
Description: partial 16S ribosomal RNA
Rfam family: Archaeal small subunit ribosomal RNA
Source: RNAcentral